GCACCGGCUAACUCUGUGCCAGCAGCCGCGGUAAGACAGGAGGGUGACAAACGUUUGUUCGGAAUUACGUGGGACGUAAAGCGCGUGUAGGCUGCUUCGAAAGUCGGAUGUGAAAGCCCUGGGCUCAACCUAGGAAGUGCAUUCGAAACUUCGAAGCUGGAGUCCUGGAGAGGAUAGCGGAAUUCUCGGUGUAGAGGUGAAAUUCGUAGAUAUCGAGAGGAACACCGGUGGCGAAGGCGGCUAUCUGGACAGUGACUGACGCUGAGACGCGAAAGCGUGGGGAGCAAACAGGAUUAGAUACCCUGGUAGUCCACGCCGUAAACGAUGGGUGCUAGGUGUCGCGGGCUUUGACCCCUGCGGUGCCGUAGCUAACGCAUUAAGCACCCCGCCUGGGGAGUACGGCCGCAAGGC
This 411-nucleotide ribosomal RNA is filed under the name uncultured bacterium. Its description in RNAcentral is "bacterial SSU rRNA". It matches the Rfam family "Bacterial small subunit ribosomal RNA", at positions 490 to 894 of the family's 1533-position model. The record is from RNAcentral.